RNAcentral lists this ribosomal RNA (1372 nucleotides) under uncultured bacterium. Its description in RNAcentral is "bacterial SSU rRNA". It matches the Rfam family "Bacterial small subunit ribosomal RNA", at positions 28 to 1381 of the family's 1533-position model. The record is from RNAcentral.
GAUGAACGCUGGCGGCGUGCCUAAUACAUGCAAGUCGAGCGAACGGACGAGAAGCUUGCUUCUCUGAUGUUAGCGGCGGACGGGUGAGUAACACGUGGAUAACCUACCUAUAAGACUGGGAUAACUUCGGGAAACCGGAGCUAAUACCGGAUAAUAUUUUGAACCGCAUGGUUCAAAAGUGAAAGACGGUCUUGCUGUCACUUAUAGAUGGAUCCGCGCUGCAUUAGCUAGUUGGUAAGGUAACGGCUUACCAAGGCAACGAUGCAUAGCCGACCUGAGAGGGUGAUCGGCCACACUGGAACUGAGACACGGUCCAGACUCCUACGGGAGGCAGCAGUAGGGAAUCUUCCGCAAUGGGCGAAAGCCUGACGGAGCAACGCCGCGUGAGUGAUGAAGGUCUUCGGAUCGUAAAACUCUGUUAUUAGGGAAGAACAUAUGUGUAAGUAACUGUGCACAUCUUGACGGUACCUAAUCAGAAAGCCACGGCUAACUACGUGCCAGCAGCCGCGGUAAUACGUAGGUGGCAAGCGUUAUCCGGAAUUAUUGGGCGUAAAGCGCGCGUAGGCGGUUUUUUAAGUCUGAUGUGAAAGCCCACGGCUCAACCGUGGAGGGUCAUUGGAAACUGGAAAACUUGAGUGCAGAAGAGGAAAGUGGAAUUCCAUGUGUAGCGGUGAAAUGCGCAGAGAUAUGGAGGAACACCAGUGGCGAAGGCGACUUUCUGGUCUGUAACUGACGCUGAUGUGCGAAAGCGUGGGGAUCAAACAGGAUUAGAUACCCUGGUAGUCCACGCCGUAAACGAUGAGUGCUAAGUGUUAGGGGGGUUCCGCCCCUUAGUGCUGCAGCUAACGCAUUAAGCACUCCGCCUGGGGAGUACGACCGCAAGGUUGAAACUCAAAGGAAUUGACGGGGACCCGCACAAGCGGUGGAGCAUGUGGUUUAAUUCGAAGCAACGCGAAGAACCUUACCAAAUCUUGACAUCCUUUGACAACUCUAGAGAUAGAGCUUUCCCCUUCGGGGGACAAAGUGACAGGUGGUGCAUGGUUGUCGUCAGCUCGUGUCGUGAGAUGUUGGGUUAAGUCCCGCAACGAGCGCAACCCUUAAGCUUAGUUGCCAUCAUUAAGUUGGGCACUCUAAGUUGACUGCCGGUGACAAACCGGAGGAAGGUGGGGAUGACGUCAAAUCAUCAUGCCCCUUAUGAUUUGGGCUACACACGUGCUACAAUGGACAAUACAAAGGGCAGCGAAACCGCGAGGUCAAGCAAAUCCCAUAAAGUUGUUCUCAGUUCGGAUUGUAGUCUGCAACUCGACUACAUGAAGCUGGAAUCGCCAGUAAUCGUAGAUCAGCAUGCUACGGUGAAUACGUUCCCGGGUCU